Molecule: long non-coding RNA, 1710 nt
Organism: Carassius auratus (goldfish)
Lineage: Eukaryota; Metazoa; Chordata; Actinopteri; Cypriniformes; Cyprinidae
Source: Ensembl
ACGUUUUCCAACGCAGCAGUGUUUGGAAAGUUAUUCCAGAGAUGAAGGGUGUUGUGAUUGUGUACCCAAUAGAUGGCAGUAGUGUCCGAUUUUGUAGUUUAAACUCUCCUCUAAACGAAACGAAGCAGCUGACAUUUUUUUUUUUUUUUACAGUUCAGACAGUGCUUAGUUUCCGAAGAAGCCAGCAGAAUUUUGAGAAUAGAAUGUUUAAAAUGUAACAGUAGUAAAUGAAGGAUAAUAUAUCUGUCCAUGCUGCAUAUUGAUGGUUUCAUAACGUAAAUCUGUCAGCUGAAGAAAAAAGGGAGGCGUCACUGGAAGUAAAGCUGAUGGAGAGAGACAAAAAACUGAGCAGAGAGGCGAUGGAAAAGGUUUCAGUGGGUGUGACUGAGUCAGUCUGGAGCAUCAGAGAUCAGAGAUCCAGAAACACACAGGACUCAGAGACCAGCCUCAGUUUACUUUGUUACACUGACACUCAAGAGAGUCAUGAAUCCACUGAUCAGAUCUCUGCAGAGUCUUUGGGUUCAGACGGUAACGCUGAAGAAGAGCAGACAGCACUUAAGACGUGCACAGUGAAUCUGGAGGACUGCAGGAACCUAGCCAAGAUGAAAAGAGAAACCACAGCUGAUGAAGAACAGAGCGAUGAUGAUGAUGAUGAUGAUGAUGUUUUUAUUCCAUCAGGUAAUUUCCUUUGUACAUUUUUAUUUUAUUUAUCUGCCUUGUCAAUACCGGUUACAAGGAAGAUGGUUUCAAAGUCAUUGUUUUUAAUGUUAUUUGUUACCUAUGUGCAAAAGUCUGGCUUUUAACCAUGAUGUUUUAAUUAAAGGGAUGUAAUAAUUGCUAGUUUUAUUAUAUGCAAUUUAUAUCUUGCUUGUAUUUUAAGGGAAAACUUUAUUUCUUAUCCAUGUUGUCCCUCAAAACUGAAGGCUAUGAAAAAAAAAAUAUAAAUGUAUUAUUGUAUCUUACGCUACAGUUAAAUCCAAGAGAAGGUUUAAUUUGAGGGUUAAUUUACAUUCAGCUUCAAAAUCUGCUACUUAAAGGGAUAGUUCACCCCAAAAGAAAAUUGUCAAUAAGUGCUCACCCUCAUAUCAUUCCAAACCUGGAAGACUUUAAUCUUCGCAACACAAAUUAAGAUAUUUUUGAUGCAUUUCGAGAGCUCUCUGUCCCUCUCAUAGACAACAAGGAUCCUGACACAAUCAAGGCUCAGAAAAACGAAGCAAUGUAUCGUUAAAAUAAUCCAUGUGACUUCAGUGGCUCAACCGCAAUUUUACAAAGCUACGAGAAUAUUUUUGUGCGCAAAGAAAAUAAAAAUAGCAACUUAAUUCAACAAUUCCUCUUCUCUGCGUCACCCUAUAGCACAAUUUUGAAGAGUAUCACAUAUGUAAGCACCUUAUGCAAUGUACUGUAUGUAUGCAGAUACGUAGUUUACAUUGUAAUCAAAGUGUAAACAGCGUAUCUACGUAUGGUGUUGAUGACAGAAGAGAAAUUGAAUUGAGCUAUAGGGUGAGACCGAGUAGACUAAUUAACGAAUUGUAUAAACACAACAGAAUUUACUCUAAGCAUGUAAAGUAGAUGCUCAAGGUCUUGUUUUCUGCAAAAAGCAAGAUAAGUAGUUGCCCUCCAUUUCUCUUUUGCUUUACAUUUGUCACCAUAUGAUUGAUUUUUGACUAAGUACUGUGUUUUUAAUUUUAGACUUAAAAGAGGAAAGUGAAG